UUUAGGGAGACCUACCCAAUCAGAGAGUGAAAGCGCAUAGCAAAUAACUACUGAAUUGGUCUACCUAGGUCGGUAGCAGAGAAUUGUGGAAGCUUUCAAACUAUAAAUGAGGUUCGUACGGGCUAUUAGCUCAGGUGGUUAGAGCGCACCCCUGAUAAGGGUGAGGUCCCUGGUUCGAGUCCAGGAUGGCCCACCUGAAGAAUUUUAGAUUGCCGAUUUGGGAUUUUGGAUUGUUAUAAGUUCAAUCUAAAAUCAGAGAUCUAAAAUCAAAAAUUUUUGAUGGGGGUUUAGCUCAGUUGGUAGAGCGCCUGCUUUGCAAGCAGGAUGUCAGCGGUUCGAGUCCGCUAACCUCCACAUUGGAGAAAAGCCAGCAAAGUGGUGAGAGCCAGACUGCUGGGGUAAUUCCAGCCAGAACCUUGAAAACUGCAUAGUAACGCGAAAUGAGCAGGCAGACACAGACAUGAGAAUGAAUGUGGAUGCAGGUUUGAAACCAAUGUAAUUG
RNAcentral lists this unclassified non-coding RNA (502 nucleotides) under Nostocales cyanobacterium RSUAII. RNAcentral's name for it is "16S-23S ribosomal RNA intergenic spacer". The stretch from base 282 to 354 matches the Rfam family "tRNA". Lineage: Bacteria; Bacillati; Cyanobacteriota; Cyanophyceae; Nostocales. The record is from RNAcentral.